AUUACAUGAGUAAGCUUCAUAGUAAAAAGCCUUGGCAGUAAACGCCAUGAGUUCAGAAGAGAGUCGCCCUGGAGCAGCUGGAGUAGUCAGGGGAGGCUUCCAGGAGGAGGCCCCGAGCGGGGCGCGGCAGGAAGGCCUGGUGCCAGAAGGGACGACCCGCCAGGAAGGGGCGGACGCGGGUUGCCGGCGCAGGAGGAGGCGCGGAAGCUCGGGCCUCGCAGCCCCACGCCCACUCGGUCCAGGACCCGCCCUGAGCCUCCGCCCGUGUGCGUGCUGUUUCCGCGGCCUGGAAUAGUCCUCCUCUCCCCACCCAGGAGCAUGCAGAGAAUUAAGAUAAAUCCGGCACGUGCAGAUGUUGGUGACGAGCUGAUUGUUACGCACCAUCAGGGAGGAGUCAGUGUCCUUUUCUGGUUCUA
Long non-coding RNA from Bos taurus (domestic cattle), 416 nucleotides. Lineage: Eukaryota; Metazoa; Chordata; Mammalia; Artiodactyla; Bovidae. The record is from Ensembl.